RNAcentral lists this ribosomal RNA (732 nucleotides) under Triticum aestivum (bread wheat). RNAcentral describes it as "partial small subunit ribosomal RNA". The record is from RNAcentral. Lineage: Eukaryota; Viridiplantae; Streptophyta; Magnoliopsida; Poales; Poaceae.
AUGGCGAAUCAGCGGGAGCAGCAGCAGGCCUCGCCCUCGCUGCCUCGGCCGCCGAUGCCGUCGAAGCCGCGGCACAUGUCGGAGCUCUACGGAGGCAUGCGCUUCGACCCCAACGGCCGCUGCCUCGUCCGGACCUACCUCGCCCCCAAGGCGAUCCGCGGCCGCCUCCCAAACCUCGAGAUCAUGGACGUCAUCCCCGACGACGUCGACGUGUACGGCACCCGCCCGGAGGCGCUCCCCUUCCACCGCUGCAACCGGGGCGCCAGCGGCAAGGUCUGGGGCCACUUCUUCACGACGCGGCCCGCGGCCGCGGCAUCGGGCGGCCCGGGCAGCUACGUCCGGGUCGUGCCGGGAGGGCUGUGGGUGCGCUACGACGAGGAGAAGGCGUACGCCGACUCGGACGGGGACGUGCUCGGGUACCGGUGCCGCUUCGCGUUCCACGGCGAGGACGGCAAGCUGACGGCGUGGCGGAUGAAGGAGUUCCGCCUCAACGAGGGCGCCGCGGCCUACCGCGGCGUCGCGUUCCACCCCGUCGCCAAGAACCUGGUGGCCUGGAAGGUGUACAACGACGUGGAGGAGCCGCUGAGCGACGACGAGGGCGACGACGAGGACGAGGACGAGGAUGACGAAGCGGAGGAGAUGGAGGUGGACGAUCCGGUUGCCGCCGCUGCGUGCACGGAGGACGACCUGACACAGCGGCAGGACAAGAAGAAGAAACAGAAGCUGCGGUAG